Molecule: ribosomal RNA, 503 nt
Filed under: uncultured bacterium
Lineage: Bacteria
Description: partial 16S ribosomal RNA
Rfam family: Bacterial small subunit ribosomal RNA
Source: RNAcentral
GAUGAACGCUAGCGGCAGGCCUAACACAUGCAAGUCGAGGGGUAGCAGGAUUAAGCUUGCUUAAUUGCUGACGACCGGCGCACGGGUGCGUAACGCGUAUGCAACCUACCUUAUACUGGGGUAUAGCCCGGAGAAAUUCGGAUUAAUCCCCCAUAGUACUAAUGAAUCGCAUGGUUUAUUAGUUAAAGCAUUGCGGUAUAAGAUGGGCAUGCGUCCUAUUAGCUAGAUGGUGGGGUAACGGCUCACCAUGGCUACGAUAGGUAGGGGGCCUGAGAGGGUGGUCCCCCACACUGGUACUGAGACACGGACCAGACUCCUACGGGAGGCAGCAGUGAGGAAUAUUGGUCAAUGGGCGCAAGCCUGAACCAGCCAUGCCGCGUGCAGGAAGAAUGCCCUAUGGGUUGUAAACUGCUUUUAUUUGGGAAUAAACCUCUUUACGUGUAGAGGGCUGAAGGUACCAAAUGAAUAAGCACCGGCUAACUCCGUGCCAGCCGCCGCGGUAA